AGUACACUCUGCAGAAUCAUAGGUGUUAGAAAACCUCUCCUCCAGCUCCCUCCUGAUUCUUCAAGGUAGUUGUGCCUGUGCUGACAAUUCUUCCUUGGGGAUACAGAGAGGCUCUUUCUAUGAAACUAGUGCCCAUCACAAACAGGAUGGAACUGAGCACCCACCACACGUCCAGAACACAUGUCACCGUUUCGCGACUACAUGGAAACCUGACCGCUAGCACUGAUCCAAUCUAUAGGAGUCUGUGUAAAUAGCAGCUGUGCAGCUGGACUCUGCCUCCACUCCUCAGAAAGUCGAUGUUCUCGCUAGCCCAGAUUGGAUUUCUGCAUAUAAUCUCCAUGCCUUGCAUGCUGUGAUAUAUCUUUAUACUCAAAGAAUUGUACACUUUUCAUUUUGAACAUGAAAUAACAUCCAGACUCUCACUGGAAGACUCCUGGCCGACUAGAGCACCACCUGUUCUUGAUAUUUUUUCAACCAAUUAAGCAUUUAAAUUGUUUCUCAUCUAAACUGGAUUUGCUUUUAUUAUUUUUUCCUUGCCAUUUUUCUUUGCCACAGCCAUCAACAAUACCUAGCAAACAACUGCUUAAUGUGCUACGGAAACAAAAGUGCGGUUGUGCGGAAGUGGAAACGAGAGGGGAUGGGGUGGAGCGGAGAGAAGGCGAGCUGGAACCCGGGGCUGACUUGCAUCAGGGGACCUUGGUCAGGUGAUAUUCUCCUACGAAAGAAAGACUCCCACUGGCCUUCUCCCGUGGCUUUACCAACCACACUGGCAUAUCCUCUGUCAUACCUGCCACUGAGCCGUAUCUUAAACAAUAUGGCACGGAUGUAAGCGCCUUUCUGACUGCGAAGAAGAACAGGAUGCAAGAACAGAAUUUAGCCAACCUCACUCUUGGCACAGGCAGCAGUGAGGAGCACGCUCAGACACUGCAGAAUGGGUCCUACUGCCAGUUCCUGCACAGAUACAGCAGCUACCAGCCUACCACACAAGCAUCCAGGCAUGGCCAUAACUGCGCUUAGCACGGAGAGAGCUGAUAUCCCGGUGGUGGAUACGCAGCAGAUUUGGAGGCUCCAAGUGGAGAACGCUGCCUUCCUCUAUGGCACGUAUCAUCUCCAUAGAUUCAGCUCACCUCUCCAACCUGGUGAGUACUUUUGGAUAAUCACUUAAUUAUCUAAUGUGCAGAGUUACAUCUGUCCUUUCCUUUGUUUAUACAUUAUUUUCUCCUUUAUUCAGAAGGUAUUUGCUUAACUAAGGUAUUUACAUGGUAGCAAUUAAUGAGCAGCUAAUGAGGCACAAAAAGCCAUGAAACUCCUUUCACCAGCAGUUAAUAAUUCAAUCCAAUAUUUUUUGUUUACUCAGACUCAAGGAUGUCCUUCAUUAAGAUCUGUUAUCAUUUCCUGCCUUGAUGAUUCAGUGUCUAUAGUGUCACCAGCCUAUUAUCAGCACAGGAGUGAAAAGAACACUGGAUUUUGAGUCAAAUCGAAAAUAUUAGUCCCAUUUCUAUUAUUUUAGUUUGAGCAUUUUAACAAGUUAAUUAAGUUCUCUUCACUCAUAAACAGAGUAAAUAAUACUUUCCUUGAUUAUUUCAUAAAGUUAACCUGUCAAAUGUGGACAUGGAUUUGAAGGUUAUUUUCUGUAUAUAUGUCAUGUGUUUGCUAUAUAGAAAGACAGUCACAAUAUACUGUUAGCAGAAAAAGGUAAAAAAACAGUAUUACCUUAUUAUCUUAAUUUUUCUGGAAAAAAAAAACACCUAGCUAAUAAUGGCCAUCUCUAUGUGACAGAAUUAUGAACGAUAUUUAUUUUGCUCUUUUUUGCUUAUAUGUAGUUUCUAUGUUUUCUAUAAGUCCUACUUGUAUAAUAAUAAAAGGUCAAAUUUUAAAAUAAUUUUGUUGUUG
This 1893-nucleotide long non-coding RNA is filed under the name Sus scrofa (pig). RNAcentral describes it as "lncRNA (ENSSSCG00070013951.1)". Lineage: Eukaryota; Metazoa; Chordata; Mammalia; Artiodactyla; Suidae. The record is from RNAcentral.